AAGAUCUUGUCGGUCCAUCCAAGAAUCUUAACGAGGAUUUUCUCAUAAGUCAUACCCGCUUGAAUCUACAUCUCAUCAUGAGGAAUGAUACGAGAAAGGUCAAGGCGGUACCUUUUAAGCAUCGAGACAUAGAAGACGUCAUGUAAACCCACAAAUUCUCGGGGAAGAGUAAGGCGGUAUGCCACGGGUCCAAUAUGUUCAAUGAUUUGAAAAGGUAUAACAUAUCGAGGGCUUAACUUCCUU
Molecule: long non-coding RNA, 243 nt
Filed under: Carica papaya (papaya)
Lineage: Eukaryota; Viridiplantae; Streptophyta; Magnoliopsida; Brassicales; Caricaceae
Description: long non-coding RNA (CPAP_LNC008984)
Source: RNAcentral